UACGUAGGGUGCAAGCGUUAAUCGGAAUUACUGGGCGUAAAGCGUGCGCAGGCGGUUAUGCAAGACAGAUGUGAAAUCCCCGGGCUCAACCUGGGAACUGCAUUUGUGACUGCAUGGCUGGAGUGCGGCAGAGGGGGAUGGAAUUCCGCGUGUAGCAGUGAAAUGCGUAGAUAUGCGGAGGAACACCGAUGGCGAAGGCAAUCCCCUGGACCUGUACUGACGCUCAUGCACGAAAGCGUGGGGAGCAAACAGG
Molecule: ribosomal RNA, 253 nt
Filed under: uncultured bacterium
Lineage: Bacteria
Description: partial 16S ribosomal RNA
Rfam family: Bacterial small subunit ribosomal RNA
Source: RNAcentral